AGUUUGAUCCUGGCUCAGAUUGAACGCUGGCGGCAUGCUUUACACAUGCAAGUCGAACGGUAACAGGUCUUCGGAUGCUGACGAGUGGCGAACGGGUGAGUAAUGCAUCGGAACGUGCCCAGUCGUGGGGGAUAACGCAGCGAAAGCUGUGCUAAUACCGCAUACGAUCUAUGGAUGAAAGCGGGGGAUCGAAAGACCUCGCGCGAUUGGAGCGGCCGAUGUCAGAUUAGCUAGUUGGUGGGGUAAAGGCCCACCAAGGCGACGAUCUGUAGCUGGUCUGAGAGGACGACCAGCCACACUGGGACUGAGACACGGCCCAGACUCCUACGGGAGGCAGCAGUGGGGAAUUUUGGACAAUGGGCGCAAGCCUGAUC
This 374-nucleotide ribosomal RNA is filed under the name uncultured bacterium. RNAcentral describes it as "bacterial SSU rRNA". It matches the Rfam family "Bacterial small subunit ribosomal RNA", at positions 10 to 388 of the family's 1533-position model. The record is from RNAcentral.